CCUACGGGUGGCAGCAGUAGGGAAUAUUGCGCAAUGGGGGAAACCCUGAUGCAGCGACGCCGCGUGAGUGAUGAAGGAUUUCGGUAUGUAAAGCUCUGUCAGCAGGGAAGAAAUAGCGACCUUUUAGUCGCCCACGUGUACCUGGUACCGAAUCAGCGGCUAACUACGUGCCAGCAGCCGCGGUAAGACGUAGGAGGCAAGCGUUAUCCGGAUUUAGUGGGUGUAAGGGGAGAGUAGACGGCAGCGCAAGUCUGAAGUGAAAUGCCGGGGCUCAACCCCGGAACGGCAUUGGAAACUGUGAAGCUAGAGUGCAGGAGAGGUAAGUGGAAUUCCUAGUGUAGCGGUGAAAUGCGUAGAUAUUAGGAGGAACACCAGUGGCGAAGGCGGCUUACUGGACUGUAACUGACGUUGAGGCUCGAAAGCGUGGGGAGCAAACAGGAUUAGAUACCCCUGUAGUC
RNAcentral lists this ribosomal RNA (458 nucleotides) under uncultured bacterium. RNAcentral's name for it is "partial 16S ribosomal RNA". It matches the Rfam family "Bacterial small subunit ribosomal RNA", at positions 338 to 795 of the family's 1533-position model. The record is from RNAcentral.